GAGUUGUUGCUGGCCUCUAGGGGCAUGUGCACGCUUCACUAGUCUUUCAACCACCUGUGAACUUUUGAUAGAUCUGUGAAGUCGUCUUUCAAGUCGUCAGACUUGGUUUGCUGGGAUUUAAACGUCUCGGUGUGACAACGCAGUCUAUUUACUUAACACACCCCAAAUGUAUGUCUACGAAUGUCAUUUAAUGGGCCUUGUGCCUAUAAACCAUAAUACAACUUUCAACAACGGAUCUCUUGGCUCUCGCAUCGAUGAAGAACGCAGCGAAAUGCGAUAAGUAAUGUGAAUUGCAGAAUUCAGUGAAUCAUCGAAUCUUUGAACGCACCUUGCGCCCCUUGGUAUUCCGAGGGGCAUGCCUGUUUGAGUGUCAUUAAAUUCUCAAACUCACUUUGGUUUUUUUCCAAUUGUGAUGUUUGGAUUGUUGGGGGCUGCUGGCCUUGACAGGUCGGCUCCUCUUAAAUGCAUUAGCAGGACUUCUCAUUGCCUCUGCGCAUGAUGUGAUAAUUAUCACUCAUCAAUAGCACGCAUGAAUAGAGUCCAGCUCUCUAAUCGUCCGCAAGGACAAUUGACAAUUGACCUCAAA
RNAcentral lists this ribosomal RNA (586 nucleotides) under Pleurotus ostreatus (oyster mushroom). RNAcentral describes it as "eukaryotic LSU rRNA". The stretch from base 220 to 373 matches the Rfam family "5.8S ribosomal RNA". The record is from RNAcentral. Lineage: Eukaryota; Fungi; Basidiomycota; Agaricomycetes; Agaricales; Pleurotaceae.